This 749-nucleotide ribosomal RNA is filed under the name uncultured Serratia sp. Its description in RNAcentral is "bacterial SSU rRNA". It matches the Rfam family "Bacterial small subunit ribosomal RNA", at positions 751 to 1502 of the family's 1533-position model. The record is from RNAcentral. Lineage: Bacteria; Pseudomonadati; Pseudomonadota; Gammaproteobacteria; Enterobacterales; Yersiniaceae.
GUGCGAAAGCGUGGGAGCAAACAGGAUUAGAUACCCUGGUAGUCACGCUGUAAACGAUGUCGAUUUGGAGGUUGUGCCCUUGAGGCGUGGCUUCCGGAGCUAACGCGUUAAAUCGACCGCCUGGGGAGUACGGCCGCAAGGUUAAAACUCAAAUGAAUUGACGGGGGCCCGCACAAGCGGUGGAGCAUGUGGUUUAAUUCGAUGCAACGCGAAGAACCUUACCUACUCUUGACAUCCAGAGAACUUAGCAGAGAUGCUUUGGUGCCUUCGGGAACUCUGAGACAGGUGCUGCAUGGCUGUCGUCAGCUCGUGUUGUGAAAUGUUGGGUUAAGUCCCGCAACGAGCGCAACCCUUAUCCUUUGUUGCCAGCGGUUCGGCCGGGAACUCAAAGGAGACUGCCAGUGAUAAACUGGAGGAAGGUGGGGAUGACGUCAAGUCAUCAUGGCCCUUACGAGUAGGGCUACACACGUGCUACAAUGGCGUAUACAAAGAGAAGCGACCUCGCGAGAGCAAGCGGACCUCAUAAAGUACGUCGUAGUCCGGAUUGGAGUCUGCAACUCGACUCCAUGAAGUCGGAAUCGCUAGUAAUCGUAGAUCAGAAUGCUACGGUGAAUACGUUCCCGGGCCUUGUACACACCGCCCGUCACACCAUGGGAGUGGGUUGCAAAAGAAGUAGGUAGCUUAACCUUCGGGAGGGCGCUUACCACUUUGUGAUUCAUGACUGGGGUGAAGUCGUAACAAGGUAACCA